This 170-nucleotide unclassified non-coding RNA is filed under the name Dracoscirpoides falsa. RNAcentral's name for it is "partial ITS1". The record is from RNAcentral. Lineage: Eukaryota; Viridiplantae; Streptophyta; Magnoliopsida; Poales; Cyperaceae.
ACAUGACCAGUGAACACGUCACAUAAAGCUACCGAGGAGGAGUUUUCUCCUCGGCCCCACCGACACCCGGCCCUUNGGCCUGGUGUCGGAAUACGGCGCGGAAUGCGCCAAGGAACACUGAUUUGCUGAGGCAGACGGCUAUAUGCUAGUGCUGCUGAGGCCAACGAAAC